This 253-nucleotide ribosomal RNA is filed under the name uncultured bacterium. Its description in RNAcentral is "partial 16S ribosomal RNA". It matches the Rfam family "Bacterial small subunit ribosomal RNA", at positions 524 to 776 of the family's 1533-position model. The record is from RNAcentral.
UACGUAGGGUGCGAGCGUUAAUCGGAAUUACUGGGCGUAAAGCGUGCGCAGGCGGUUUUGUAAGCCAGAUGUGAAAUCCCCGGGCUUAACCUGGGAAUGGCAUUUGGGACUGCAAGGCUUGAGUGCGGCAGAGGAGACUGGAAUUCCCGGUGUAGCAGUGAAAUGCGUAGAUAUCUGGAGGAACACCGGUGGCGAAGGCGACAUCCUGGACCGGUAUUGACGCUGAGGCGCGAAAGCCAGGGGAGCAAACGGG